Molecule: ribosomal RNA, 497 nt
Filed under: uncultured bacterium
Lineage: Bacteria
Description: partial 16S ribosomal RNA
Rfam family: Bacterial small subunit ribosomal RNA
Source: RNAcentral
GAUGAACGCUGGCGGCGUGCCUAAUACAUGCAAGUCGAGCGAACAGACGAGGAGCUUGCUCCUCUUACGUUAGCGGCGGACGGGUGAGUAACACGUGGAUAACCUACCUAUAAGACUGGGAUAACUUCGGGAAACCUGAGCUAAUACCGGAUAAUAUAUUGAACCGCAUGGUUCAAUAGUGAAAGACGGUUUUGCUGUCACUUAUAGAUGUAUCCGCGCCGCAUUAGCUAGUUGGUAAGGUAACGGCUUACCAAGGCAACGAUGCGUAGCCGAUCUGAGAGGGUGAUCGGCCACACUGGAACUGAGACACGGUCCAGACUCCUACGGGAGGCAGCAGUAGGGAAUCUUCCGCAAUGGGCGAAAGCCUGACGGAGCAACGCCGCGUGAGUGAUGAAGGUCUUCGGAUCGUAAAACUCUGUUAGUAGGGAAGAACAAAUGUGUAAGUAAAUAUGCACGUCUUGACGGUACCUACUCAGAAAGCCACGGCUAACUACGUG